UCGGAAUUACUGGGCGUAAAGGGCGCGUAGGCGGCCUUCUAAGUCGAACGUGAAAUCCCCGGGCUCAACCCGGGAACUGCGUCCGAUACUGGAAGGCUUGAAUCCGGGAGAGGGAUGCGGAAUUCCUGGUGUAGCGGUGAAAUGCGCAGAUAUCAGGAGGAACACCGAUUGCGAAGGCAGCUCGCUGGAACGUUACUGACGCUGAGACGCGAAAGCGUGGGGAGCAAACAGG
Molecule: ribosomal RNA, 232 nt
Filed under: uncultured bacterium
Lineage: Bacteria
Description: partial 16S ribosomal RNA
Rfam family: Bacterial small subunit ribosomal RNA
Source: RNAcentral